RNAcentral lists this long non-coding RNA (3090 nucleotides) under Homo sapiens (human). RNAcentral describes it as "novel transcript". The record is from RNAcentral. Lineage: Eukaryota; Metazoa; Chordata; Mammalia; Primates; Hominidae.
GAUUCUGAUUCAGUAGGCCUUUGCCAGGGCAGAGGUAUGUAGGUGAUGCUCACGCUCAGCUAGGUUUGGGAGCAACCAGACUAGAACCCAUUCACAUACAGACUCUUAGUAAAUGUUUUCUGCUCUCAUCUUGCAAAGUGAAAGUGCCCAGCACAGGCAAUGGUGUUAGUACGUUGUAGUCAUUCACAAACUAGGGCUGCCCAGAAGAGAGACAGGCUGGGACUUUCGAGAGAGAAACAGCUGUUUCAUUUGAAUGCCUGGUGUGGGAAGAAGAAGGACAGCCUAGCUUCAUGGAACCUUCUUGCACCAAACAAAGCCUCCAGAUCCCUCCACAGUGCUCCAUUCAAUCCCUGUCCAUUGGUGGUGGACCAAAGAAGAAACCAAUUUGCCUUGGCCACAUGUCUUUGAGAAAAAAAGCCACUCUCCCUUCUGGGACUCAGAGCAUCUGUACCUGUAAUAUAAGAGGGGAAUGUGGAAAAUUCUAACUGGAUGAUCACUUUUCUGUGGAGGGAAAAACACAUUUUUUGUUUUAAGGGGCUAGCCAGCAUCAAACCUUUUUUUGAGAUGGAGUCUCGCUCUGUCACCCAGGCUAGAGUGCAAUGGCACUAUCUCCGAUCACUUGAACCCAGGAGGAGGAGGUUUCAGUCAGUAGAGAUUGAACUACUAUACUCUAGCCUGGAUGACAAAGUAAGACCUUGUCAAAAAAAAAAAAAAAAAAAAAAAAAAAAAAAGAAGGAUAAUCAAGACAAUGAGCUAACACAGAAGCCAUAGUGGACUUUCUUCAAUAUUUUAAGAAAGGUGAAAAAUAGCAGGAAUUUAACCUCUCAAAAAUGCUAUUCCCAUUAUCUAUUCUUCCUCAGCUACAAAGCCCCUGAUUUCACCUAGGCACAUGGCUGCCCAAAAAAGACAACCCUGUCUGGCCCCCCUUAAACCUGAUUGUAGCUAUCUAAGUUGUAGCCAAUGAGGUGUCAGAGGAAGUACCAUGCAGUGCAACUUCUUAAGUAGCCUAGAAAGAUGGGGUCACAUCCCCCUGGGUUGUUUCCUUCUUUGUGUCAUUUUGAUCUCUCUCGCUGGAAAACAGAAAUGAUGUCUGGAGUGUAAGCAGCCAUCUUGGGCUAGGAGACUACAUGCUGACAUGGUGACACACCACCCAGAAAGAAUCUGAGUAGUCGAUGAUCACAGAGCUACCAUAUCAGCACUAGACUCUCUACCUCCACAUUUUAUUUGUGUGACAUAGAAAUAAAGUUUAAGCUUUGUUUUUUCUGGGGUGUAUGUGUGUACACAUGUGCGUCUCUGUCUGUCUCACAUGCAGUGAGACCUAAUUCUAACUGAUAUGCCGGUAGGAUGGGGGGACCUUGCCACAAGGUAUAAUUGUGGUGGGAUGGCUGUGUCUUGCUCCCAUUCAGGAUCCAUGGAAAGCUCCUCCUCCUUCCUGUUCCCCUGGAUGCCAAGCGAUGGGCCUGAGACCCUGGCUUUGCCAUGUGGAUGCUCCCCCUCAGGACUUUGGAUGUGCAGUGAUUGCUACAAAAAGGGCAAUGAAGAUGCCUGGACCACAGCCACACAGUCUCCAUCACAGCAGUGGUAUUCUGUGGAAUGAGUACUAAUUUUCUGGCCACAUUUUCUGUUAAAAACUGGUUGUUGAGCUGCCCACUUGUCUUGGUCAAGGGAUGCUGGAGUGGCCUGGGAAGGCAGUGUUGUUUGCUUUUCUUAGGAUGGAACACACUUAGGCAUAUUUUUGGUCAAAGCAAAAGAAGAAUUCAAAGGUGAGAGAAGUUGAAGAUAAAAAGGGGAAAAUGAGGGUAGCAGAUGAAGCAAAGUCACACAGAAAGCUGGCAGGCGAGUAGUAGAAUCAGAGUACAGGCUGAGCAUCCCAAAUCUGAAAAUCCAAAAUCGGAAGUGCUCCAAAACCUGAAACUUUUGGAGCACCAACACAAUGCUCAAAGUAAAUGCUCAGUGAAGCAUUUUGGAUUUCAUAUUUUCAGAUUUGGGUUUGCCCAACCGGUGUAAUACAAAUAUUCCAAAAUCAAAAAAAAAAAAAAAAAAAAAUCUAAAGUCUGAAACACUCCUGGUCCCAAGCAUUUUGAAUACAGGAUACUCAACCUGUAUGACACUUUCCUAUUGGACCCUCUUUCCUACCCCAAAUAAUACUUAAUAAGUUUUUGUUUCAAAAGUGCCACUCUGAGCAUCUUUGGCUAUAAGGAGCAGAGUCACAUUCUAGCUCCCCUGGCACCUGCUUCACAGGAGCCCAUGUGAGAAGACCAGGUUCUGGUCAGGACAGGCAUACCUGAGAGCUGUUGGGGUCUGUGAUCUGCUGAAAAAUGACUUCUCAAUGUUCUUCACAUCCUAAUCCUCAGAAACUGUGAAUAUAUUACUUUAUAUGACAACAGGGAUUUUAAAGAUGUGAUUAAGUAAAUAGUUUGGAGAUGGACAGAUUAUCCUGGAUUAUCCAGAUGGGCCCAAUGUAAACACAAGGGCCCUCAUGAGAGGGAGGCAAGAGGGUCAGAGAAGAUGCUGUGACAGCAGAAGCAGAGGACAGAGAGUCGCAGAGAGAUUUGAAGAUACUACACAGCUGGCUUUGAAAAUGCAGGAAAGGGCCAUAUCUGUUGCUUCACACCACUAAGUUUGUGAUAAUUUGUUACAGCAGCAGUGGGAAACUAAUAGAGCAUCUUUCCUUUUUUUCUAGUUAAAGGACUCACUUGUACGUGUACACAUUUCUCAGGAGUCCUGUCAACCACUGGGAAGAAAGAGGCUGGACUUCUGCAUUGAACCCAGGAACGGGGUUUCACAGCAAUGGAAACCUGGGGUUAAAUAUCAAUGGAACCUUACAUGACUUGAAGAAUCUUUAAUACAAGCUAGGUUUUGACCCCAAAUUAGACAUUUGGCAGCCUCUCAUUACAGUCUAUCUUGCAAACCUCAGUGUGGCAAGGAAUCAGAUUCACCCACACUCCCUAGUCUAAAGGAUUGUCCUCUGAUCCUUCCAGGUGGAUUAAGCCCUUUCUAAUCUGUCAUGGACAGAGCAAUGUACCUGCCUUUGUUUGUUUUCCUUAAUUCUUUCAAGUGCCUUUGGGUAAUAAAUGGUUGCGUACUCAG